AUGUAUGAAGAUCUUAUCAAUAUGGGGCAUGUGUUCUGUAGAAAGCACAUUUGGAAAAUCAAAGUACCUUUAAAGAUAAAGAUUUUUAUGUGGUUUGUUCAAAGGGGGGUGAUUCUCACCAAAGAUAAUUUGGCUAAAUAAAACCGAAAUGGAUUUAAAGUGUUGUUCUGUGAUCAGGAAGAAACAAUUCAACAUCUUUUUAUUUCCUGCCCUUUUGCGGCUUUGACUUGGUGCACGGUCCAUGUUAUAUAUAAUCUGCCACCCCCAACAAGUAUCCCAAAUUCGUUUGGAAACUGGUUGGUUGGUACUAACAAAAAGCUUGAAGGUCAUAUAAGUGUAGGGAUUUAUGCCUUACUUUGGACAAGUUGGAAUUGCCAGAAUGACUAG
This 387-nucleotide ribosomal RNA is filed under the name Triticum aestivum (bread wheat). RNAcentral's name for it is "partial small subunit ribosomal RNA". The record is from RNAcentral. Lineage: Eukaryota; Viridiplantae; Streptophyta; Magnoliopsida; Poales; Poaceae.